This 694-nucleotide long non-coding RNA is filed under the name Calidris pugnax (ruff). RNAcentral describes it as "lncRNA (ENSCPUG00000000010.1)". The record is from RNAcentral. Lineage: Eukaryota; Metazoa; Chordata; Aves; Charadriiformes; Scolopacidae.
CUCUCUUGCUCUGCCCUUGAGGACUUUUAAAACUUGCCUUUCAAACAUAAUGAGACAAAUUCUGCUUUCAGGUACCUGAGGCUUGCUGCCUGCGGUCGCCCUCUGUGUAUAUCCAGAAUUUGAAAAUUCAGGCAGAGCAGUAAUUCCAAGGCUGUGGAGGCUGAUGGAGCACUGAAGGUGCAGACUCUUUGCCGUGCUCAGCGAAGUCUGGUGAGGUCUGUCUCGGAGAGCUCAGCCCCACGGCAGCGAGAGGGAGGCCAUGCUGGUGACUCCUGCGUGGACUCCUCCUGGGGACGCUGAUGUUGGGAACCACCAUGCUGCUUCUGCUCCCACCCAGGAAGGACUUCAGCACGUUAAGAGGACUGGCCCAGCUUGAAAUCUCAGAUGUCCAUAAAACCAUUAAGGUUCCGGAAGAAGCUUCAAGAGGAAGUGCCAGAAUCUUAUUAAGGAAAGAUUGUUGUGUUUUUACUCCCCGAGGAGGCCCGGCGAGAUUAUAAAGACCACAGCGUGCUCCUGCAGAAGGCUGAGAGGUGAAGGAAGGAGACAAGAUGGAAAAGUUACUAGGAAGAAGAAGUGUAAAAGAGGUACAGUGCAUGGGAACGUGCAGAGAAAGGAAAUGGGCUGAUGGGGGAGAAUGUGAGUCUUCUCUGGCUCACAGUGUUACGGUACCACUGUCUGCAUUUGUCACGUCGUU